AGAAGCAGCCACCAUUGAAAGAGUGCGUAAUAGCUCACUGGUCGAGUGACCCCGCGCCGAAAAUGUACCGGGGCUAAACAUAUUACCGAAACUGUGGAUGAACCUCUUUAGAGGUUCGUGGUAGGAGAGCGUUCUAAGGGCGGUGAAGUCAGACCGGAAGGACUGGUGGAGCGCUUAGAAGUGAGAAUGCCGGUAUGAGUAGCGAAAGAAGGGUGAGAAUCCCUUCCACCGAAUAUCUAAGGUUUCCUGAGGAAGGCUCGUCCGCUCAGGGUUAGUCGGGACCUAAGCCGAGGCCGAUAGGCGUAGGCGAUGGACAACAGGUAGAGAUUCCUGUACCAGUGCUAAUUGUUUAACCGAUGGGGUGACACAGAAGGAUAGGGAAUCGCACGAAUGGAAAUGUGCGUCCAAGCAGUGAGUGUGAGAAGUAGGCAAAUCCGCUUCUCGCGAAGCAUGAGCUGUGAUGGGGAAGGAAAUUAAGUACGGAAGUUCCUGAUUUCACGCUGUCAAGAAAAGCCUCUAGGAAGAGUAGUACUGCCCGUACCGCAAACCGACACAGGUAGAUGAGGAGAGAAUCCUAAGGUGAGCGAGAGAACUCUCGUUAAGGAACUCGGCAAAAUGACCCCGUAACUUCGGGAGAAGGGGUGCUCUAUUAGGGUGCAAGCCCGAGAGAGCCGCAGUGAAUAGGCCCAGGCGACUGUUUAGCAAAAACACAGGUCUCUGCAAAACCGUAAGGUGACGUAUAGGGGCUGACGCCUGCCCGGUGCUGGAAGGUUAAGAGGAGUGCUUAGCUUCGGCGAAGGUACGAAUUGAAGCCCCAGUAAACGGCGGCCGUAACUAUAACGGUCCUAAGGUAGCGAAAUUCCUUGUCGGGUAAGUUCCGACCCGCACGAAAGGCGCAACGAUCUGGGCACUGUCUCAACGAGAGACUCGGUGAAAUUAUAGUACCUGUGAAGAUGCAGGUUACCCGCGACAGGACGGAAAGACCCCGUGGAGCUUUACUGCAACCUGAUAUGGAAUGUUUGUACCGCUUGUACAGGAUAGGUAGGAGCCGAAGAGACGUGUGCGCUAGCAUACGAGGAGGCAAUGGUGGGAUACUACCCUGGCUGUAUGACCAUUCUAACCCGCCACGCUUAGCGCGUGGGGAGACAGUGUCAGGUGGGCAGUUUGACUGGGGCGGUCGCC
This 1182-nucleotide ribosomal RNA is filed under the name Listeria monocytogenes. Its description in RNAcentral is "partial 23S ribosomal RNA". It matches the Rfam family "Bacterial large subunit ribosomal RNA", at positions 1108 to 2287 of the family's 2925-position model. Lineage: Bacteria; Bacillati; Bacillota; Bacilli; Caryophanales; Listeriaceae. The record is from RNAcentral.